UUAGAUUUUGGAGUAAAUCCGUUUUGAACAGCAGGUCUGUUUUAGAGACCUUGCUGUGAUUACUCUUUUCUCAACUCAUAGCUUCAUUACUUCUCGUUUCUAACCUUUAGUCCUUCUUAGGCGAGGUUUUGAAGUUUGCUCAAGCUUGGUAGCAUUAUUUGAUUGUUAGCCAUCCUUAAUACUCACUCAAGGUGAGUUCUCUCACACCGUUGUAUUGAUGAUUGUGUUUGCUAGUUAGCUCGUGUGUGAUUAUUUGAAUUUAUUAUAAAAGCAUGCUAUAUAAGUAUUGUUUUAAUUCGUACAUGUGCACUGUAUGUAACUAAUUAUGGAUAUGGGGACACCACCAAAGGAUACGGAUUUACCGGUGCGGUGGGUAGGUAAGAUCACCAACGUAAUACUCUUCGUGAGGUGCGGUGAUUAGGGCCAAAUGAUACGGGAUCUUCCCGGUGCGGUUCAAACCUACAAGUCCUUCUCGUAAUAUAGACAUUGAUUCGUUCUUUGCCUUUAUCAUUAUAAUUGGAAAAUGGAUUAGGGCUAGUAAAUAUGAAUGUUAGUACAAUGUCUGUGUUUGAAUUCACUAAGCUUCGUGCUUACGUUUUUCCCUUAUAACUUUUCAGGUGUUAAGAUUAAAGAGGCUAAGGCUUGACAUGGAGCAUCGGGACAUCGCUACUAGUUAUUUUGUUGGGACCUUAUUAUUAUUAUUACUUCCGCACUUAUUUUAUAUGAUUAUUAAGUUGAUGGAUUAUGUUAUGACUAUUUCUGUUGUUUUAAUUUAAUUUAAGAUGGGUUUUAAAAGUUUAAAAUUUUUGCAAAAAUUUGGGUGUCACAAGUUGGUAUCAGAGCCACAGUUUGAGGGAACUAGGCAUUCUUGUGGAUGUUCUAGACUCAAAUUUGAGGCUCUAUAAGAGUUUAUUUUCUUUUUAAAAUAUUUUUCCAAACUUCUGAAGACUAGUAGUGGAAGAUGUCGCGGUGUACCAGUCAGCCAGCCAAGUAAGCCUUAUUUCUUAUGUUAAAUGUUUAUGUUAAAUUGUUGACUAUGAAUUGGAUUCUACUAGCCUUAAAAUAUUAGAUUACACACUUAGUUAGUGUUAACAUGUGAGAGAGUUGUAAAAUUAACGGCUAGAGCGAACUGGAAAUUUUGAAACUAGACGCGAAUGCGAAAUUGGAACUUGUGUGGAAGGUAGUAGAAGGGCCCCUACUAUUUGAAACAUCGGUGCCGGUUUCGAGUCGGGGCAAGGUUGAAAAAUUUUCGGCAAGCUGAGUGUUUUGUCUUCCUUGAAAUAUCUAGACUGAAUUGUUUCUAAGAUUUUCCUUCUUCUGUGGAUACCAAUGGCUCCGCCUGCUCGACUUAAUCAGCUCCAAAUGGAGCAAGUUAGGGAUAUUGUCACUGAGGAAUUCAAUAACGGUUUCAACGAACUAAUCCCGGGUGUGACCAACGCAUGAUCAACCAAUUCGGUGCUCUUCUGGAUGAGCGCCUCGCGGCUAUUCUUGGGGAAGCAUUACUGGCUCUGCCUGUUCAGGAUUCAGCAUACUACUUCGAGAAGUUCAACAAGUGUAGCCUUCCUCUUUGGAAUGGUGAAUCCGACCCAAUUGCUGCUAAGCCCUAGGUGUCAAAUGUUGAGGGUGCCUUCAUAAGUGUUGGGUGUCCGGACCAGUACAAAGCAGUGAUCGCCAUGAAUCAGCUGUAAAAAAAGGGGAAAGACAUGGUGGAACACCAUCACCGCUCUAUUGAACGAAGAAGAAGUGAGGGCCAUGUCUUGGGCCCAAUUUGUGGAGAGGAGGCACAAUAUGUGCCUAAGGUGGAGCAGCAGCGUAUGCAGCAAGAGUUCAUGGCCUUACAACAGACUACCGAGUCCGUUAGUGACCUGAACGCCAAGUUCUUGGAGAUGCUAUCUUUUUGCCCCUCGUUUGCUGGGAACGAGGCCUGGUUAGGCAGCCGGUACACGGCUAUCCUACGUACCGAGAUUCGGGAAAUCGUUAGCAUGCAGGAGUUCUCGACUUUAUCUGUGAUCAUAAUGUAGCGAGGAGGAGGGAAAUCGAGUUGCUGACCCAGUCCAAGAGGAAGGCCAAUGACACCUCUUCCAAGACAUCCAGAGAUGCCCAGAAAAAGCAAAAGCAGGGUAGUAAGUCAAGGUAUGAGUAUAGGACGUCUUCAGGGCGAGAAAAAUAUGUUGAUAUGCUACAACUGCAAAAAGCCAGGGCAUCAUUGGAAGAAUUGUAGGGAUCCCCCUGCGAGUGCAGUACCUCAUAUUACUUCUGCACUUCCCAUCUGCUAUCACUGCAACGAGACGGGACACAAGAAGGCUGAAUGCCCGAAGUUGAAGACUGGUAAAGGAGACGGGGGUACAAAUCCUACAAUUACAUCGUCCUCUAAGGGAACCACUAUGGUGACACGAGGUCGUGCUCACCAGAUGAUUGUGGAGGAGCCGGUGAUUACAACGACAGUGGCAGGCACUUAUUUGCUAGAUUCUGAGCCCGAUGUUGUUAUGUUUGAUAGCGGUGCUACCCAUUCUUUUGUAUCUCACACAUUUAUUAAUCGUUUGGGGCGUAGUAUCGGAAAAUUGGCUCACCCAAUGGUUGUCGAUGUUGUCGACAACCGCACUAUUUAUGUCACCGAUGUUUAUCGGGGUUACACUCUCGAGUUUUCUGGAGUUGAAUUCCCCAUUGAUCUUAUCCCUAUUGCGAUGCGAGAGCUCUGCGUUAUCGUAGGCAUGGAUUGGCUUGAUGCGUUUGAUGCGGAAAUCCACUGUCGUAAGAAGCAAGUUCGUGUUCGAAACCCUAGAGGUGGAGAACUUAUUAUUCAGGGGGACAUUCCCCGCCUGGCUAUGGCUUCUUGCUCUUCUGCUAUAGCACUAGACGACGUUCCUAUCGUUUCCGACUUCAGCGAUGUCUUUCCGGAGGAACUCCCUGGCUUGCCACCUGUUCGGCAAGUGGAGUUUCGCAUUGAUUUGGUGCCAGGUGCGACUCCGGUAGCGAAAUCUCCUUACCGCUUGGCACCACCUGAAAUGAAAGAGCUCCAAGAUCAACUUCAAGAACUAAGUGAUAAAGGGUUUAUACGGCCAAGCUGCUCGCCUUGGGGUGCUCCUAUUCUCUUUGUGAAGAAGAAAGAUGGAUCCCAGCGAAUGUGUAUUGAUUAUAGGGAGCUAAACAAGCGCACGAUAAAGAAUAGGUACCCGUUGCCACGUAUUGACGAUCUUUUCGAUCAGCUUCAGGGAGCAUCUUGGUUUUCCAAGAUUGAUUUACGUUACGGUUACCAUCAGAUGCGGGUUCGUGAAGAAGACAUUGAGAAAACAGCAUUCCGUACUCNGGAGCUAAACAAGCGCACGAUAAAGAAUAGGUACCCGUUGCCACGUAUUGACGAUCUUUUCGAUCAGCUUCAGGGAGCAUCUUGGUUUUCCAAGAUUGAUUUACGUUCCGGUUACCAUCAGAUGCGGGUUCGUGAAGAAGACAUUGAGAAAACAACAUUCCGUACUCGAUAUGGGCACUUUGAAUUCGUGGUGAUGCCUUUUGGGCUCACUAAUGCACCCGCAACAUUUAUAGAUCUCAUGAACCGGGUGUGUAGCCCGAUGCUUGACUGUUCGGUCAUAGUGUUCAUAGAUGACAUCUUAGUCUAUUCUAAGAGCAAAGAGGAGCAUCAGCAACACCUUCGGGAGAUUCUGGAAACUCUGGCAAGAGAAAGGCUUUAUGCUAAAUUUUCAAAAUGUGAAUUUUGGUUGGAAGAAGUUCAGUUCUUGGGGCAUGUGGUAAACAAACAAGGUAUCAAGGUCGAUCAAGCCAAGGUUGAUGCGGUUAAACAAUGGAAGAUUCCGAAAACACCUUCUGAAAUUCGCAGUUUCUUGGGUUUAGCCGGUUAUUACCGGAGGUUCAUUGAAAAUUUCUCUAAAAUCGCCUUACCACUCACCCGAUUGACCAAGAAAUCAAUGAAUUUCGUUUGGGGCCCGGAGCAGCAACUGGCGUUUGAUAAGUUAAGGAAACGAUUGUGUGAUGCUCCGAUUUUGGCCUUACCUGAUGGGGUUGAGGAUAUGGUGGUUUACUGUGAUGCAUCGCUUCAAGGUCUUGGUGCCGUGUUAAUGCAACGAGAUAGGGUGAUAGCCUAUGCCUCCCGACAGCUGAAACCCCACGAACGAAACUACCCCACUCAUGAUUUGGAGCUUGGGGCUGUUGUUUUCGCUCUUAAGAUUUGGAGACACUAUCUCUAUGGAGUGAAGUUUAUCAUAUACACUGACCAUAAGAGUCUAAAAUAUUUGUUCGAGCAGCGGGAUUUGAAUAUGAGGCAGAUCCGAUGGUUGGAUGUGGUAAAAGAUUAUGAUUGUGAAAUUCACUACCACCCCGGUAAAGCUAAUGUGGUAGCUGAUGCUCUCAGUCGUAAACAAUCUGCCGAACCGAUUCGAGCUAAGUGUCUCCGGAUCACGAUGGUGUCGUCUUUGUUAGAUCUAAUCCGGGACGCCCAAAAGACGGCAAUACUGGAGGAAAACAUCAGGCGUGAGAAGAUUGGGAAAGAGUUGCCUAAGAUGGAACGAGACGGGCGUGGUUUGCUGACUCGCUACGGUAGGAUUUGGGUUCCAUAUACCGGGGGAAAUCGGAAAACCCUAAUGGAUGAGUCUCAUAAGUCAAAAUUUUCUAUCCAUCCUGGUGCUACUAAAAUGUAUCGGGACCUUCAUGAGGCUUACUGGUGGCAUGGAAUGAAGAAUGAUGUGGCUCGAUUUGUGGAAGAAUGUAUGACCUGUCGGAAGGUCAAGGCGGAACACCAGAAACCGCAUGGGAAGUUGCAACCAUUGGAGAUUCCUGAAUGGAAAUGGGAGCAUCUAACCAUGGACUUCAUUACAAAACUUCCUAGAACUGCCCGAGGAUCAGAUACGAUAUGGGUGAUUGUUGAUCGUUUGACUAAGAGUGCUCACUUUCUGGCUAUAAAGGAGAGCUCAUCGGCGGAGAAAUUAGCCGAGAUCUUUGUUCGGGAGAUUGUCUCAUUACAUGGGGUGCCCGUUUCUAUCGUCUCCGAUCGAGACACCCGAUUUACCUCUCGGUUCUGGAGGAAGUUUCAAGAGGAAUUGGGCACACGAUUACAUUUUAGUACCGCCUUCCAUCCGCAGACAGACGGGCAGAGUGAGCGGACGAUUCAGACCUUGGAGGACAUGCUUAGGGCGUGUGCGAUUGAUUUUGGGGGUAGUUGGGAUGACCAUCUACAUCUAGCUGAGUUUUCUUAUAACAACAGCUAUCACUCGAGCAUUAAAAUGCCUCCGUAUGAAGCCUUGUACGGGAGGAAGUGCAGGACGCCCGUUUGUUGGGGCGAGGUUGGGCAGAGGGUACUUGGGAGUACCGAUAUCGUGCUACAGACUACGGAGAAAAUCCAAGUGAUUCGGGAUCAUUUGGUCACAGCGAGCAGUCGUCAGAAAAGUUAUGCUGACAAAAGACGCUCCAAUCUUGAGUUCCAGGUGGGAGAUUAUGUGUUGCUUAAAGUCUCCCCCUGGAAAGGUGUGAUUCGAUUUCGGAAGCGGGGAAAGCUCGGACCCCGAUUCAUUGGACCCUACAAGGUCAUAGCCCAUGUAGGGAAGGUGGCUUAUCGUUUAGAGCUUCCUGACGAGCUUAGUCUAAUUCAUAAUACAUUCCACGUGUCUCAGUUAUGAAAAUGCGUUGUUGAUGAGACCGCUGUGAUACCACUGGAGGACAUACAGAUUAACGAGCGUCUCAAUUAUGUUGAGAAACCAAUUGCUAUUUUAAAACGAAAGAUGAAAGCUCUCUGCAACAAGACUAUAAACCUGGUUAAGGUGCAGUGGCAACAUAGGAAGGGUUCGGAAUGGACUUGGGAGCCGGAAUGGGAGAUGCGGGCUCAUUAUCCGGAUCUGUUUCUAGGUGUUGACUUCGAGGAUGAAGUCCGUUCUUAGUGGGGGAGAGUUGUAACGCCUCGGUUUUUCUCGGUGCGUUUGGUUAUUUAUUUUUAAUUAUCCUUGUAACCUUGGGUUAAUUUAUUUAACCAAUGUCUGAUUUCUUAUGUUAUUGGACUCUUUUGAUCAUCUUGUAAACUCCUUUUAUUGAAGUCCAUGGGCUAUGGGCCUAUUUGCAAAGUCCAUCUAGUAAAUAGUACUUAAUGUGUUAAUUGAGUCAUUUGGAACACACACAAGAAAAACACUCUAAACCCUCCCUCUCUCUCUCUCUCUAAUCGUCCUCUAUCUCUUUGGGAUCAAGAUCAUCCAAGGAGAUGUUGUUUGGAGCUUAAUUCUUGUUCAUUUCCAGCCUUGAUUCAUAUUGGUAUGAACCUCCUUAUCAUUUCUUACAACUUGAUUCAUAACCUUGUUCUAGUUUUAUGAUUUCAUCUUCACUUCUUCUCCUUCUUAUUUGAUUUGUAAUUGUAUGUUAUACAUCAUCUCAAGGUCCUAUCUUCACCCCAUAUAUGGUGGAUGAUGGAUCUAGGGGAUUACAUGUGGCAAAAGAUCAUGGAAACCCUAAAAGGGAGAAUGAUGAUUUUAUGUGCUUAUGUUUAUUUUCAUGUUGAUUAUUAUUACAUCCUUGUGGCUAAAUGAAAUCCUAAUGAUCCCUAACCCUUUUUAGUACCACCAUUAUCAUGGGGACUGAAUUGGGAUGAUGAACACAUCUUAAAAUGUGUUUCAAAAGGAGAAGGAUGGAUAAGCCAAAAAGGAAUCACGGGUGGCUACGAUUCUGUUUUCCAUCAGAUCUGUAGUCAUUUUGUAAAACUCAUAUCUGGAGCUCUAGAACUCAAACGGACCCCAAACCAGUUCCAAAAGUUCACAAAUUGAGUUGGCUAACUUUCUUAAGAAGGCCAACCUCACUGAUAAGGGCUUUAUCUAUGUGAAAGAAUGGCAUCUUUGCUGUUAGGUCUGAUCCGGGUCUGUUCUGAUAUGUCAUUUUGUUUUCAUCAUUUCUAAGGCUUGGAAAAGGAUCCAGAGUGAUUCCAAGUUUCUAUAUGUUCCUUAUAUUAUGAAUUUAAGAUCUGGAGAAUAUGGGGUGUUAUUUCCAAUUAUAAAUUGGUUAGAAUGGAUCCACACUCCAGGUCAGUGGGCAGUCACCAGCUUUUGCUAGUGCUGUGAUUGUCCACAAUGUGAAUUUUAUAUCUGGAGUUUGAGAGAUGCUUUUCAUUCAAUUCCAACUCUGAGACUUUCACUUGUAUGUCCUUUACUUCUCUUAAUUUUCUUUUGGACGAAUUCUACUCACAAGUUGGGUAGAAUUGGCCAACAUCACUUGACUGUAUUGUUGGAGACAGAAGUGAUACACCAUUUUGUAAAAUUCAUAUUUAAUUCAUCUUUUGGAGUUAGAAUGAGUUCUUUAUAGUUAUGGAAUCCUGAGCAAUCAUAGUUUCCUAUAAAAUUUAGUUAAAGCUAUGUUUCUGUUUUAGAUUUUGGAGUAAAUCCGUUUUGAACAGCAGGUCUGUUUUAGAGACCUUGCUGUGAUUACUCUUUUCUCAACUCAUAGCUUCAUUACUUCUCCUUUCUAACCUUUAGUCCUUCUUAGGUGAGGUUUUGAAGUUUGCUCAAGCUUGGUAGCAUUAUUUGAUUCUUAUCCAUCCUUACUACUCACUCAAGGUGAGUUCUCUCACACCGUUGUAUUGAUGAUUGUGUUUGCUAGUUAGCUCGUGUGUGAUUAUUUGAAUUUAUUAUAAAAGCAUGCUAUAUAAGUAUUGUUUCAAUUCGUACAUGUGCACUGUAUGUAACUAAUCAUGGAUAUGGGGACCCCACCAAAGGAUACGGAUUUACCGGUGCGGUGGGUAGGUAAGAUCACCAACGUAAUACUCAUCGUGAGGUGCGGUGAUUAGGGCCAAGUGAUACGGGAUCUUCCCGGUGCGGCUCAAACCUACAAGUCCUUCUUGUAUUAUAGGCAUUGAUUCGUUCUUUGCCCUUAUCAUAUAAUUAUAAUUGGAAAUGUAUUAGGGUUAGUAAAUAUGAAUGUUAGUACAAUGUCUGUGUUUGAAUUCACUAAGCUUUGUGCUUAUAGUUUCCCUUAUAACUUUUCAGGAGUUAAGAUUAAAGAGGCUAAGGCUUGACAUGGAGCACCGGGACAUCGCUACUAGUUAUUUUUGUUGGGACCUUAUUAUUAUUAUUACUUCCGCACUUAUUUUAUAUGAUUAUUAAGUUGAUGGAUUAUGUUAUGACUAUUUCUGUUGUUUUAAUUUAAUUUAAGAUGGGUUUUUAAAGUUUAAAAUUUUUGCAAAAAUUUGGGUGUCACAGAGAAUUAGAGAGCAUUUGGAUCUUGAAGGAGUGUUUGUUGAAGAAAUCUUUGAAGAUUAAGAGGCUUGGAACAAGGGGCUUUGCAAGGUUUUGGCUUAUUCUUCUGUUGGAGUCUUCUUUGG
RNAcentral lists this long non-coding RNA (8299 nucleotides) under Lactuca sativa (garden lettuce). RNAcentral describes it as "long non-coding RNA (LSAT_LNC004876)". The record is from RNAcentral. Lineage: Eukaryota; Viridiplantae; Streptophyta; Magnoliopsida; Asterales; Asteraceae.